GCUCCAGUGGCCUAGUGGUUAGUGUCCGCCUCGGAUGCGGCAGGUCGUGGGUUCAAUUCCCUGUUGAGUCA
Potamilus streckersoni is the source of this 71-nucleotide non-coding RNA. Lineage: Eukaryota; Metazoa; Mollusca; Bivalvia; Unionida; Unionidae. The record is from the annotation of a GenBank genome assembly.